UAGGGGUUUGAAAAGCUACCUCUUUCUAAAACCAACUGUUGUCCAGUGCGUUUGGAUAGCACCAUCGCCCAGCGAUAACCAUCCAGACCUGCAUACGGCACACAGAAUGCAGGCUGUGUUUCCAAGGCUUCUGUGAUGGAGUACUGGACAGGGAACCAAAGGCAGCCGUCUCUGUACUCUAAAUAUGGGACUGUUCCAGGGCAGAACCUGUCACACGUGUACCGAGAGAAGCAGCGCACGCCACACUCCCAGCAGCCCUUGUACGAGAGAGAUCUCAGCCGUGAGAUGAACUGGUGGACAGCGCCCGGCUCUCGAACUGGCUGGGUUCUGCGGGAUCACGCCAACAGGACAGGCGUACAGCCGUCCGACUUCCCCUUUGCAUUAGACAGCCAGCCCCGCUCACAAGGCUUCAGCAAUCAGCAGGGACGCGAGAGAGCAGAGAGGGAGUGGGCGCGGGCGGAAAUGGAGAGGGCACACAAAGAGCAGGAGAGGGAAAGGAGGGUGCAAAGGGAGGGGUGGGGGAGGAGGUGGGAGCCGUGUAGCCCCUUUCGCUACAGGAGAGACUGCAAGAGGAGCAUGAGUGACAGCAGCCACCGUGAACUGGAGGCCUGGGCUUCCCGCUACUGUCACUCGUUGCCCAGGAAGAGGCGCAUGGAGGCCGAAAUGUGGGGGGCUCAGGGGUUCCAAAGGGUGCAGGCGCAGGAGAGAGAAAGGCUCACACAGUGGGUGGGUAGAGAUGGCAGUGCGGACCUCCAGGGCACAUACCCUCCACCAACAUGGAAUUCUCCCAUGAGAGGGUGGAGACAAGAGGAAGAAAGGCAACCAGCAGUUCCAUUUAGACCUCCUCAGUCCCCUUUCCUCAAGAAGUCGGGGGAGAAGAAUCGCAAGGAGAAUGAACUCAGUUACCUGCAAAGGGUGUCAAGCCUACCCCCAUCAUACAAUCCCCCUCCACCCUACAGUGCUCCCCAUUACUCUCUGCUUGAAACACUGCAGCCUCAUAAAUAUGCUAUGAAAGACACCGUGAGUUACAUCAAACCAAA
Anguilla rostrata (American eel) is the source of this 1040-nucleotide long non-coding RNA. RefSeq lists it as uncharacterized. The record is from RefSeq and is a predicted model, not a curated record. The transcript has 3 exons. NCBI's taxonomy places the organism in Eukaryota, Metazoa, Chordata, Actinopteri, Anguilliformes, Anguillidae.